AAGUCGUAACAAGGUUUCCGUAGGUGAACCUGCGGAAGGAUCAUUAACACGUAUCCAACGUUAAACAACCCUGUGAACUUUCAACCCCGCCAGAAUGAGAUUAGUUUCCAACUCCGGUGAAGGCAAGUGACCUGGCACCUGGACCACAUCAAAGCUCUGACAGAGUGCCUCUGGAUUGUGAUUGAAGGGUGACGCAGUAACGAUCGCUGGAGGCCCACACGGCCGGCGACUGGGUCAGCGAGCUAACGCUCCCUCAACAACUACUUAACAUGACGACAGUUCCUCUUUAACUUGAGUUGAGCUAUAACAAAAAACUAUACAACUGUUAACAAUGGAUAUCUUGGUUCUC
RNAcentral lists this unclassified non-coding RNA (349 nucleotides) under fungal sp. Its description in RNAcentral is "partial internal transcribed spacer region". The stretch from base 1 to 46 matches the Rfam family "Eukaryotic small subunit ribosomal RNA", at positions 1786 to 1831 of the family's 1831-position model. Lineage: Eukaryota; Fungi. The record is from RNAcentral.